Non-coding RNA from Petromyzon marinus (sea lamprey), 233 nucleotides. Lineage: Eukaryota; Metazoa; Chordata; Hyperoartia; Petromyzontiformes; Petromyzontidae. The record is from RefSeq and is a predicted model, not a curated record.
AGGUCACGUGAUGAUGAUUGUGAUUAUAGGGGUACAGGUCACGUGGUGAUGAAUGUGAUUAUAGGGGUACAGGUCACGUGGUGAUGAAUGUGAUUAUAGGGUGAUCACGUGAUGAUGAAUGUGAUUAUAGGGUGAUCACGUGAUGAUGAAUGUGGUUAUAGAGUGAUCACGUGAUGAUGAAUGUGAUUAUAGGGGAACCGCGUUCUUUGCGAGAACGCCUAGUGCCAAUUGGG